Ameiurus melas (black bullhead) is the source of this 74-nucleotide non-coding RNA. The record is from the annotation of a GenBank genome assembly. Lineage: Eukaryota; Metazoa; Chordata; Actinopteri; Siluriformes; Ictaluridae.
ACAGUGGUAGCUGUCGUGGUUAAGACAUUGGACUACUGAUCGGAAAGUCAUGAGUUCAAAUCUCAAAUGCUGAG